RNAcentral lists this ribosomal RNA (633 nucleotides) under uncultured bacterium. RNAcentral describes it as "bacterial SSU rRNA". It matches the Rfam family "Bacterial small subunit ribosomal RNA", at positions 9 to 650 of the family's 1533-position model. The record is from RNAcentral.
GAGUUUGAUCCUGGAUCAGGAUAAACGCUGGCGGCGCGCAUAAGACAUGCAAGUCGAACGAACUUAAUCGAAAGUUUACUUUUGAAGCGGUUAGUGGCGGACUGGUGAGUAACGCGUAAGUAAUCUGCCUAUCAGAGGGGAAUAACAGUGAGAAAUCAUUGCUAAUACCGCAUAUACUAAUUCUAUCGCAUGAUGAAAUUAGGAAAGGAGCAAUCCGCUGAUAGAUGGGCUUGCGUCUGAUUAGUUAGUUGGUAGGGUAAAGGCCUACCAAGACGAUGAUCAGUAGCCGGACUGAGAGGUUGAACGGCCACAUUGGGACUGAGAUACGGCCCAGACUCCUACGGGAGGCAGCAGUCGGGAAUAUUGCGCAAUGGAGGAAACUCUGACGCAGUGACGCCGCGUAUAGGAAGAAGGUCUUCGGAUUGUAAACUAUUGUCGUUAGGGAAGAGAAAGGACAGUACCUAAGGAGGAAGCUCCGGCUAACUACGUGCCAGCAGCCGCGGUAAUACGUAGGGAGCGAGCGUUAUCCGGAUUUAUUGGGUGUAAAGGGUGCGUAGACGGGAAAAUAAGUUAGUUGUGAAAUCCCUCGGCUUAACUGAGGAACUGCAACUAAAACUAUUUUUCUUGAGUGCA